This 400-nucleotide unclassified non-coding RNA is filed under the name soil metagenome. RNAcentral describes it as "partial contains 5.8S ribosomal RNA, internal transcribed spacer 2, and large subunit ribosomal RNA". The stretch from base 1 to 122 matches the Rfam family "5.8S ribosomal RNA", at positions 35 to 154 of the family's 154-position model. The record is from RNAcentral.
GAUGAAGAACGUAGCGAAAUGCGAUACUUGGUGUGAAUUGCAGAAUCCCGUGAACCAUCGAGGCUUUGAACGCAAGUUGCGCCUCAAGCCAUUAGGUUGAGGGCACGUCUGCCUGGGCGUCACAUAUCGUUGCCUGAUGCCAGUUUCCUCGUGAUGGGUGACUGUGCAGGGCGAAUGAUGGCUUCCCGUGAGCAUUGUUGCCUCAUGGUUGGUUGAAAAUUGAGUCCUUGGUAGGGAGCGCCGUGAUAGAUGGUGGUUGAGUGACGAACGAGACCCAAUCAUGUGAGACCCCUACCGAAUUUGGCCUUCAUGACCCACAUGCGUCUUUGGAACGCUCAUGACGAGACCUCAGGUCAGGCGGGGCUACCCGCUGAGUUUAAGCAUAUCAAUAAGCGGAGGA